UCAGUUGUUAAUAAAUAUUUUAUAAAAAAGUAAAAACGUAUCUGUUCUUAUCAGCUUAAUAGCUGAUACGUCUCCUAAUGGAGACAUCGAUAUUAAACUGAUUUUUAGAAUGGGAUGAGGUGCCACGGAGCUUGCUCUCCCCUCAUCACGGGUUGACCCGGUACUGCAGUACCUCCGGGAAUGGCCCACCACUC
Molecule: small nuclear RNA, 194 nt
Filed under: Haliotis rubra (blacklip abalone)
Lineage: Eukaryota; Metazoa; Mollusca; Gastropoda; Lepetellida; Haliotidae
Description: U2 spliceosomal RNA
Rfam family: U2 spliceosomal RNA
About the family: U2 is a small nuclear RNA (snRNA) component of the spliceosome (involved in pre-mRNA splicing).
Source: RNAcentral